AACGAACGCUGGCGGCAUGCCUAACACAUGCAAGUCGAACGAGACCUUCGGAUCUAGUGGCUCACGGGUGCGUCACGCGUGGGAACCUGCCCUUAGGUUCGGAAUAACUCCCCGACAGGGGUGCUAAUACCGGAUAAUGUCUUCGGACCAAACAUUUAUCGCCUUUGGAUGGGCCCGCGUUGGAUUAGCUAGUUGGUAGGGUAAAAGCCUACCAAGGCGACGAUCCAUAGCUGGUCUGAGAGGAUGAUCAGCCACACUGGGGCUGAGACACGGCCCAGACUCCUACGGGAGGCAGCAGUGGGGAAUAUUGGACAAUGGGCGAAAGCCUGAUCCAGCAAUGCCGCGUGAGUGAUGAAGGCCGGAGGGUUGUAAAGCUCUUUUACCCGGGAUGAUAAUGACAGUACCGGGAGAAUAAGCGCCGGCUAACUCCGUG
This 433-nucleotide ribosomal RNA is filed under the name uncultured bacterium. RNAcentral describes it as "partial 16S ribosomal RNA". It matches the Rfam family "Bacterial small subunit ribosomal RNA", at positions 29 to 507 of the family's 1533-position model. The record is from RNAcentral.